Molecule: long non-coding RNA, 1428 nt
Organism: Gigantopelta aegis
Lineage: Eukaryota; Metazoa; Mollusca; Gastropoda; Neomphalida; Peltospiridae
Exons: 6
Source: RefSeq, a predicted model, not a curated record
AAAUUAAUGGCAUACAAUGAUACAUUUUCUUCUUCGCAGCUCUGUAGAAUAUCCACCUAAAACAGGAUUAUUUAGGUAGUACUCCACCAAAUAGCAUCUCGGCUGGGUCAAAGUUCGAAGUGACCCAAACUUUUAAUGGAGGAGUUAAAGCUGUGAGUCUGCCAUUGGUGUGACUGUGGUUGCUUUGCAUCAAGUACAGUUUUAUGUAGUUGCAGAAUUCUGUUGUGUUCGACUUUGUGCAAAGCUAAAAUGACCUUACUACCCGAUGAGAAUGAACAUCCCAUAUCCCUUGACAACUUAACUAAUGACUACAGGCCCAUCAAUGAUGCUGUGCACUGCACUGUGUUCCCUCCCUGAGAAGUUUCUGCUGAACGUUGUGUGUCUUGUUUUUUGACACCGCGAACAGAUGGUGCUGGUAUUUUCAUGCAGAGACACAGGAGCUGGACGUUUUCAACCCCAAUGGGUAUUUUCGUUAGACCGACCUGCACUGAAACAUUUGGCUGAGCUGCCUUACGACCUGCACACUUUCGCUUUGGAUUGUCCACCUCUGUGUACAAGCUGUACAUACCAGAGUGUUGCAGGGUUCUGUUGUGUUCGACUUUGUGCAAAGCUGAAAUGACCUUACUACCCAAUGAGAAUGAACAUCCCAUAUCCCUUGACAACUUAACUAAUGACUCUACAGACCCAUUAUUGAUGCUGUGCACUGCACUGUGUGCCCUCCCUGAGAAGUUUCUGCUUAACGUUGUGUGUCUUGUUUUUUGACACCCCGCAACAGACGGUGCUGGUAUGUUCAUGCAGAGACACAGGAGCCGGAAGUUUUGAACCCCAAUGGGCAUUUCGUUAGACCGAUCUGCACUGACACAUUUGUCUGAGCUGCCUUACGACCUGCACACUUUCGCUUGGGAUUGUCCACCUCUGUGUACAAGUUGUACAUACCAGAGUGGUAUGUACAAUGUUACAGCACAAACGCUGCCGAGUGCACACACCACUUCUUUCUUCCUCCGGGAAUUCCCACAUCAGUUGACCAUGGCAUUCUGGAUCCAAAGUGCGGUGGUCGUUGUAUGUACUAUUCAUCAUUUGCUCCAGUUUGCCCAUGUGGAGGACCCUGUAUGUGUCGGCCUCUGAUCUGUUGAUAAAACCCCAAUAGAAGCCCAUAGAUACUAGCACUACCUCAUUUCUUAAUGUUUUCUUCUAUCUAGCAUUUUCAUUGAUAGGUUAUCUCCCUUGGACUGUUUUACACCAGCGCUACCAUGCCAAAUUGACAUUGUUUGCAAGCCAUAUUGUUCAAAUCUGACUCUUUGUGAUUGCCCCUGCGCGUGCUGUAACCUCACUGUGGUGCAGGGGUGUAACAUUCUCUUUGAGAAUGGCUAAUACAGCACAAAUUGAAAUUUUGAGUAAAAGUCAGUAUCUAUCUGUGAUAUUUGUAUU